GAGGGUAUAGCUCAGGGGUAGAGUGCAUGCUUAGCAUGCACAAGGUCCUGGGUUCAAUCCCCAGUACCUCCA
RNAcentral lists this transfer RNA (72 nucleotides) under Camelus bactrianus (Bactrian camel). It matches the Rfam family "tRNA". From Rfam's summary of the family: Transfer RNA (tRNA) molecules are approximately 80 nucleotides in length. Their secondary structure includes four short double-helical elements and three loops (D, anti-codon, and T loops). The record is from Rfam by way of RNAcentral. Lineage: Eukaryota; Metazoa; Chordata; Mammalia; Artiodactyla; Camelidae. RNAcentral also lists the same sequence under 2 other names.